This 66-nucleotide transfer RNA is filed under the name Ameletus sp. 1 MT-2014. RNAcentral's name for it is "tRNA-Ser". The record is from RNAcentral. Lineage: Eukaryota; Metazoa; Arthropoda; Insecta; Ephemeroptera; Ameletidae.
GAAGUAUGGUUGUACAAAUAGGAGCUGCUAACUCCUUUCUAGCGGUUAAAAUCCGUUAAUAUUUCU